Molecule: ribosomal RNA, 430 nt
Filed under: uncultured Pseudomonadota bacterium
Lineage: Bacteria; Pseudomonadati; Pseudomonadota
Description: bacterial SSU rRNA
Rfam family: Bacterial small subunit ribosomal RNA
Source: RNAcentral
UAGAGUUUGAUCCUGGCUCAGAGUGAACGCUGGCGGCGUGCUUAACACAUGCAAGUCGAACGCGAAAGGGGAGCAAUCCCCGAGUAGAGUGGCGAACGGGUGAGUAAUGUGUGGGUAAUUUGCCUUUCAGCGGGGGAUAACCCGGGGAAACCUGAGCUAAUACCCCAUAAUGUUGCUUGAUCUUCGGAUCGAGUAAUCAAACGAUGGCCUCUGCUUGCAAGCUAUCGCUGAAAGAUGAGCCCACAUCCUAUCACGCUUGUUGGUGGGGUAAUGGCCCACCAAGGCGACGACGGGUAGGCGGCCUGAGAGGGUAUCCGCCCACACUGGAACUGAGACACGGUCCAGACUCCUACGGGAGGCAGCAGUGGGGAAUUUUUCGCAAUGGGCGAAAGCCUGACGAAGCAACGCCGCGUGUAGGAUGAAGGCCCUA